Non-coding RNA from Podarcis lilfordi (Lilford's wall lizard), 75 nucleotides. NCBI's taxonomy places the organism in Eukaryota, Metazoa, Chordata, Lepidosauria, Squamata, Lacertidae. The record is from the annotation of a GenBank genome assembly.
GGCCAUGGCUCAGUGGUAGAGCAUCUGCUUUGCAUGCAGGAGGCCACAGGUUCAAUUCCUGGCACCUCUGGGUUG